RNAcentral lists this long non-coding RNA (948 nucleotides) under Canis lupus familiaris (dog). RNAcentral describes it as "lncRNA (ENSCAFG00845015418.1)". Lineage: Eukaryota; Metazoa; Chordata; Mammalia; Carnivora; Canidae. The record is from RNAcentral.
AUGCCAUGUGACCAGGGUGCUGUUGACUUUGUGUGUCCCAUGGUGUGCUUGGCAAACAGAGAGAUUUACCCAAGGCCACCUCGUUGCCAUCUGCCAGGUUGGGAGCUUUGGAGCAGGAGGCAGAGGACGGGGCUCUGCCUGGCAUGCACUUGCCCCUCUGGCUCUCCUGGGGUGCCCACCCAGAGAUGCUGGCCACGCAGAUGGGUGCGUCCAGGAAGGCGACUCCGUAUACCACUGAGGACUUCUCUGCAACACUCUGGAAGUCUUUAUCAAGGGGUUGCCCGUUCUAGAAUACUCUAUGUGAUUGCUGCCUCCACAUCGGGCUCCCAUUAAGUUUUCACGUAAAGAAAAAAUUCAGGAACUGGCUUCAGGUGGCCCCUGAGCCAUCUCUCUGAGGAGGAGGUACCUGCGGGUGGACCAUUACCCAGGUGAGAAUGUGCUUGGAUCCCAGGACCGGGAGUUCAGGGACCUCGGCUCUUCCUGGUGGGGCCCCUUGAGCUCCGACUGGGGCUCGCUCGUCAUUUUGUCGUGGGUUGCAUUCGGGGCAGGUGCUCUGUGUCAUGAGGCCGUAGAGUGGGAGUGGGGGGAGGUGACCCAAGUGUCUCUUCUCCUGGAAGGCUUGGCUGGGAGAGGCCGGAGGAGGGGCAGGAGCGGCCGCGGACGGGCCUGCGCGUGUGCGUGGGGGUGGGUGCGCGGGGCCCGCGGACAGGGGCGCAGGCUGUCCCUGCGGAGGCGGGGGGGGGGGGGGGGGGGGGGCCCUUCCCGGGACGUCGUCUGCUCCCAGCGCAGGAGGCCGCUCCGCCACCGCCACCGCCACCGCCACCGCCACCGGACCCCACGCCUGCGCCCGCGCCGCCGGCCUCGCCCUCCCGCCCGGGGGCUGAGCCCGGCCUGAGGCCCCGGGUCGCGGCGAGGGCAGGGGGCGCCGGUGGGGGGAGGGGCGCGGGG